GAUGAACGCUGGCGGCGUGCUUAACACAUGCAAGUCGAACGAAGCACUUUAUUAUGAUUUCUUCGGAAUGACGAUUUAGUGACUGAGUGGCGGACGGGUGAGUAACGCGUGGGUAACCUGCCUUAUACAGGGGGAUAACAGUUAGAAAUGACUGCUAAUACCGCGUAAGACCACAGCCUCACAUGGGGCAGGGGUUAAAGGAGGAAUCCGGAUAAAGAUGGGCUCGCGUCCGAUUAGCUAGUUGGUGAGAUAACAGCCCACCAAGGCGACGAUCGGUAGCCGACCUGAGAGGGUGAUCGGCCACAUUGGAACUGAGAGACGGUCCAGACUCCUACGGGAGGCAGCAGUGGGGAAUAUUGGGCAAUGGGCGAAAGCCUGACCCAGCAACGCCGCGUGAGGGAAGAAGGGUUUCGGCUCGUAAACCUCUGUCCUAUGGGACGAAGGAAGUGACGGUACCAUAGGAGGAAGCCCCGGCUAACUACGUG
Molecule: ribosomal RNA, 485 nt
Filed under: uncultured bacterium
Lineage: Bacteria
Description: bacterial SSU rRNA
Rfam family: Bacterial small subunit ribosomal RNA
Source: RNAcentral